This 1059-nucleotide long non-coding RNA is filed under the name Coturnix japonica (Japanese quail). RNAcentral's name for it is "lncRNA (ENSCJPG00005004871.1)". Lineage: Eukaryota; Metazoa; Chordata; Aves; Galliformes; Phasianidae. The record is from RNAcentral.
AUGCGCCGCGCCGCGCUCCAUCCCCGCCUCCCUCCCGGGGUGCGGCAGCGCGGGGCUCGCACGGCCGCUCCCCCCGGCCGCCACCUUAAUCCGCGCUCGGCCGUGCGGUGCGGCUCCCGCUCGGCCCCGCAUCCGCUGCCCUCAAGGUCACGCCGCGCGGCGCGCUCCGGUUACCUCCUGCGGGGCGCAGCGGGAGGGUCGGGGAGCGCCCCGGCCCCGCGGCCCCCACCCCGCCGAGCCCCUGCACCUGCCGGCGCGCCGCUGUGGACAGAGCGGCGGAGCGGAGCCGUGCCGAACGCAGCCGAUCCGAGGCUCCCCGGCAGCCACCGCCCGCCCGUCGCUCUUACCUCGGGGCCGCCCCCACCGUCGGUCGGGACGAGGCGCCCGCGAAGCUGCCCCUGCCGCCGCCGCCGCCGCCCGCCCGCCGAGCGCGAGGUCCCCGCGCCGCGCCGCCCCCGCCCUGCGGCCGCGGGAGGGAGGGAGCGGGGAGGGGAAGGGGCGGGGGCGCAGGACCGAAUUGGGGAGGGAGGGAGGGGCGGGGAGGGGGCACCGGCGCGGAGGGAGGAGGGGGGGGGCGAGAAGGAGGCGGAGGAAGGCGGAGGGGGGGGGGGGGCUCGUGCCGCCCCACCGGCCGCAGCCGGACUCACCCUCCGGCGGCGCUCCGGGGCCGCCGCCCGCUUCGUGCCGCACGCACCGGGCAGCGCCGAGCGCGCCGCGGAGCCAGAGCCCCGCACAGCGACCGCUACAGGAGCCCGGCGGGGCGGAGCGGAGCCGAGCGGGGCGGAGCCGGACCGAGCGCGCCUCCCGCCCACUCGCCCGCCCGCUCGCGGCCGCUCACCCUCCGUUGCCGGCGCCCGCCGCCCGUCACCGUCCGCCCGUCACGUGGCGGUGCCCCUCGCGCGGCCGCCCGAGGGGGGUCCCGACGUGCGGCGGCCCUCGGGGGGCAGGAGGGGACGCGCGGCGAUAGGCACGGAGCCGGCAGGGGCGGAGUCCCUCGCCUCGGCCCGGCCCCGCGCCGCCCUGACUGGCGGGCGGGAGGUGACGCGCUUGUUUCCAUGA